GAACGAAACAGAUAGCCGAACAGUUAGCGGUUAUCUGUCUAUCUAGCGUCGUGGCUAGGUACUGAUGAGUAGCGAAGA
This 78-nucleotide non-coding RNA is filed under the name Vibrio algicola. Lineage: Bacteria; Pseudomonadati; Pseudomonadota; Gammaproteobacteria; Vibrionales; Vibrionaceae. The record is from RNAcentral.